CCGUGCUAGCCGGGGAGUUAGCGGUGCCCUGUAACCUGCAAUCCGCUGUAGCAGGGGUGAUGCCUACCUGAGGCCUUAUCUUUUUAAGGUCUGCCCUUUGUAAGUGGCGAUGAGAAUCGGGUCUCACGCAAUAGAAGUUUACGAACCGUGUCAGGUCCGGAAGGAAGCAGCACUAAGUAAAUGUCUCUAUGUGCCGUGAGGGUGCCUAGUUUGAGCUAACUGCAAAGGUUACGCUUGGGGAGAAUUGUCGAAGGUAGGUGCACGG
This 265-nucleotide signal recognition particle RNA is filed under the name Defluviitalea saccharophila. RNAcentral's name for it is "signal recognition particle sRNA large type". It matches the Rfam family "Bacterial large signal recognition particle RNA". Rfam says of the family: The signal recognition particle (SRP) is a universally conserved ribonucleoprotein involved in the co-translational targeting of proteins to membranes. Archaeal SRP consists of a 7S RNA and homologues of the eukaryotic SRP19 and SRP54 proteins. Lineage: Bacteria; Bacillati; Bacillota; Clostridia; Lachnospirales; Defluviitaleaceae. The record is from RNAcentral. RNAcentral also lists the same sequence under 1 other name.